GCUCUUCCGGUUUCCGGUUCCGUGCUUCAACAGAGGCCGCUGGGUGUUAAUGGUGCGGCUAGCUGCACGGCGGUUCAGCUUUGUUCCAGUUACUUUUAGUUGCCUGGGAGUGUUUCGCAACGGAAAGAAAAGGGUCAAAAACAAUCUCUGUUGUGACAGACUGUCUACCCCCAGGUAUGUGAGUUUGUUUUAUCUAUUUUUAUGUGAGACGCUAGGUUAAAUGCCGGGGGUGUAGUGUUAAUUGCUUUAUUUCCCCAGUCAGUGUUAUUUCGUCACCCGAUGCUCAUCCAUAUCCGGUUUAUUACUGAACCAGUACUGUAUCUGUGAUUUGGUGUGGCAGACGGCUACUUCUCCGGUUCCGGGGAAUUCCUGCUGUAUGUGCAGUUGAUGCUGCACCUUGUUCCCGGGACAACGCUGCUGUUUUGUUCCGUGUUAAUUUUUUGGUGUUUUGUGUUAAAUUGCUUUGCUCCUCGCUAAAUUGCUCUCUUUGGUAACUGUUUAUUUUUGGUUUCGGUUUUGUUUCUUGAUUUAUAGCCACACUGUUACUUUCUUUCUGACACUGUUACUGUGCUCUAAAUCCUACCUUGAGGUAGGAAGCCUUUUUGCUGAAGUCAGUGUGGUAAUUAGUUAUUUUGUUACUUCAUUUAAUUGCUUUGUCCUGAUAUCUAAUUUAUAUAUUUUCUUGGAUUGGUUUAUACUUCCUCCUGGGUUUUGUAAACCUUUACUCUUUUUGUUUUGUUUAUUUGGUUUUCUUUGG
Molecule: long non-coding RNA, 757 nt
Organism: Tachysurus vachellii
Lineage: Eukaryota; Metazoa; Chordata; Actinopteri; Siluriformes; Bagridae
Exons: 3
Source: RefSeq, a predicted model, not a curated record